RNAcentral lists this long non-coding RNA (205 nucleotides) under Lathyrus oleraceus (garden pea). RNAcentral's name for it is "Pisum sativum (pea) long non-coding RNA (PSAT_LNC017586)". Lineage: Eukaryota; Viridiplantae; Streptophyta; Magnoliopsida; Fabales; Fabaceae. The record is from RNAcentral.
UUUGAGCAAGAAGCAUGAAGAGUUGCAAUUGGAGUCUAAGGACAAAGAUGCACUUAUUGAGCUACUUGAAGACCGAGUGAUGAAAAGACAGAGAGAGCCAGAGGUUCCAUCUUCUAGCAUGCCUCAGCCUUCUGUUGCUUGGAAGAAGAUUGUUGAUCAGCUUGUCCUCGAGAAGACUCAGAUGAAGGCUUCUCUUGAGACCGAG